Molecule: unclassified non-coding RNA, 21 nt
Filed under: Mus musculus (house mouse)
Lineage: Eukaryota; Metazoa; Chordata; Mammalia; Rodentia; Muridae
Description: oocyte_clustered_small_RNA4630
Source: RNAcentral
AAUUCAUGGCUGACAACACAU